RNAcentral lists this ribosomal RNA (450 nucleotides) under uncultured Glomeromycotina. Its description in RNAcentral is "SSU rRNA". It matches the Rfam family "Eukaryotic small subunit ribosomal RNA", at positions 569 to 1023 of the family's 1831-position model. The record is from RNAcentral. Lineage: Eukaryota; Fungi; Glomeromycota.
AGCAGCCGCGGUAAUUCCAGCUCCAAUAGCGUAUAUUAAAGUUGUUGCAGUUAAAAAGCUCGUAGUUGAAUUUCGGGGUUAGCAAGUUGGUCGUGCCUUCGGUAUGUACUGGCCUUGCUGAUUCCUCCUUCUUGAAGAACUGUGAUGCUAUUAAUUUGGUGUUGCAGGGAAACAGGACUGUUACUUUGAAAAAAUUAGAGUGUUUAAAGCAGGCUAACGCUUGAAUACAUUAGCAUGGAAUAAUGAAAUAGGACGUUUGAUCCUAUUUUGUUGGUUUCUAGGAUUGACGUAAUGAUUAAUAGGGAUAGUUGGGGGCAUUAGUAUUCAAUUGUCAGAGGUGAAAUUCUUGGAUUUAUUGAAGACUAACUACUGCGAAAGCAUUUGCCAAGGAUGUUUUCAUUAAUCAAGAACGAAAGUUAGGGGAUCGAAGACGAUCAGAUACCGUCGUAG